UCUAUGUGGAUGCUGAUAAAGUGAGCAGAAAAUGUCCACCAUAGCCUUCUCCCUCUAGAUGUUUACAGCCUGAAGACUGCUACCCUACAGACUAGCUAACCUGCCUCCUUAAUCUAACUAUAUACCAGAAACCUCCCUGGUUCAGCCGUAAACAAUAAUCCUGCCUCCAGUCCAACUAUGUAUAAUAGACCCACUGAGUUUCCUGGGUGCUGUGGCUUCUCCAUUGGAGAGCCUAGUCAGCUCAAAUCCAGAUCUUCUGUGUCUAUGUUUGUCUUUUUUUUUCCACCCCUUCAGUUCCCCUAUAAGAGCUGACCCUGGACCUGUGCAGGAUGAAACAGACAAAAAUACAUCUCCUACUUUAGGAGGCAUCCCCAGAGUAGGCUGGACCUGAAAGGUGUUCUUGUCUCUGAUGGAAAAUCACUGCAGGCCAAUUUGCAUUUGGAAGAUCGGAGCAUCAGGAUUUGAAGGAAGUUGUAUAAAUUUGUCUGCACUGGUACUCACAUGGAAGAAUAUGCUUAUUGCUCUAAUCUGGCACAAAAGAGAGUUACUCUGACUUAAUAAAUUGCUUCAACUG
Molecule: long non-coding RNA, 574 nt
Filed under: Mus spretus (western wild mouse)
Lineage: Eukaryota; Metazoa; Chordata; Mammalia; Rodentia; Muridae
Description: lncRNA (ENSMSPG00010021350.1)
Source: RNAcentral